AUCUAGUUGACACGUCCCAAAUAGGACGAGACGCGCGUCAAACUGGAU
RNAcentral lists this non-coding RNA (48 nucleotides) under Schistosoma margrebowiei. The record is from RNAcentral. Lineage: Eukaryota; Metazoa; Platyhelminthes; Trematoda; Strigeidida; Schistosomatidae.